Molecule: long non-coding RNA, 1757 nt
Organism: Sebastes umbrosus (honeycomb rockfish)
Lineage: Eukaryota; Metazoa; Chordata; Actinopteri; Perciformes; Sebastidae
Exons: 2
Source: RefSeq, a predicted model, not a curated record
UUUAUUGUAAUAAAUAAUAAAAUGGCCAUGAUAUGUCAUCCGAAAUUAAGGAAACAUGCUGAAUUGAAAUACUGGCUUCUCCGACAACAAUGCUACAGACACUAUGUUCUUCUUUCUAUUCCCAUCCGCUGCCUAUUUCGACACCCCGUUGCCACAUAUGAAACUAAUUGGCUCGCAAACAGCCUUCUGCAGCCAUGGAAGCAAGCUAGAGAUAACGUUAACUUUAGAUUCUACCUGACCUGAAAAGCCUCGGCACAUCUCUCUGUGGCCCGUGAGCAGCUGGGUUAUCAAGACAGCGAGUAUUUGAGACACACAGUCGGUGAAAUGAUUCUGACUACUGCUGCUGGCCGGAGGCUAACGCGGUCGUAUCUAGAAGGUAACCCUCAAACUGCAAAAACCUGCGCUCAGAAACCUCUUUAAGUCUGCUCGGAAAUAUCUGAAGAUAUGUAGAUUGUUUUGUGCUAACAUUUUUUUCUGGGACUGAAUUCUAUGUUGUCUGAGUAAUGUCUGAGAGGACUGAAAGAAAAAUGGUAGAUGUGCAGAGCUGCAAACUUCUUGACACCGAAGGUCAGCAGGCAUUAAAAUAGGAAUGAAGAACCUGCUUGUUGUUAAGAAAUUCAAACUUGUAUUGGCAUAGCUUUCAAAAUGAUUCAAAACGACUUGUUUUGUAAUCGUAAACGUUCAUUUUCCUUCUCCAUCAGUGGAUAAUUCAAAUGCCUACUCAAGGGAAACAUGUUUGCAGGAGAUGCUGGUGAACUAUGCGCGGUAAUAGACAGAAUCAAGGCUGAUGCGGAUCCAAAAGAAAGCCAGUGUGGGUGGUGGAGCUCUGAUGUAAUUUUCCUCUUUCUUAUGGGCUCUUAAACUGCAUCUUAUACUAAAAAGAUGUGCUCAGAGUUGUGUUAGUGCAGCACACACACUGCUCAAGGGUCCUCAAGGAGAAAUUGUUAUUGCUAUACGCACUAUGGAAUCAUCUGAUAGACUAGAUAAAGAGUGAUUUAUCCCGCAGGCCCUCCCCUUUCCUUUGACUCCAGCAGAACAAUCACAGUAAUUCUUCUGGAUGUCCAGACUGUCACUUCUGUAAUCAGGGCCUGCCACACUCCGGAGUCAGGAGCCCACUCUUUUGGAACAUUCCACAUUCAAGGUCCAUUAGCUCCGAGCGGCAUGCCGCUUCACUCUACUAUAUAGCGUGUCCUUGAAAGAAAACGGCUGGAGAACCAUGAAAUGUUGGUCACAUAUCGGGGGGUUCCUGUUUGGGUGCUCCUUGAGACAGAGAAUGUCUUUUGACGAUCCCCAGAGAAAGAGGCUCGUCUGUGCUGCGUCUGCGUAGGUGGAGAGAAACAGUUGCAGUGUGAUUCUCCGGCUGUGAAAAAAGUCGGACUGCUGACAGAAGAAGAAGAAGUAACUGUGUGUGCUAUCAGGAGUUAAAUACCCAAAACCUGACAUUGCAUUGAUGUUUGAGCGGUAUCAGAGUCCACUGUAGCUGCACUCAAGGUUCACGUCCGGUCAUCUGGUUGUCUGCAGGAGGAAGAAAAAUACACCAACAAACAACAAAAUGGGCACUGGAAUGGAAACACAUCUACAACUGGGCUGCGGUUUGAAAAGUCUUUUUCUCUUAGGAAGGUUCCUAACAGAGGGAAAUGAUCCGGAAGUAUCUCAGUAUCAUCUGUGAUAAGAGCUGUUUGAAUUCUCUAAAUGUUAAGGAUAGGAGCUUCAAUGCGUCCCUUAUUAUCUCCAUUAACAUAGGAUACACUUGAGCA